Molecule: long non-coding RNA, 563 nt
Filed under: Homo sapiens (human)
Lineage: Eukaryota; Metazoa; Chordata; Mammalia; Primates; Hominidae
Description: non-protein coding lnc-ZNF680-14:1
Source: RNAcentral
CAGGAGGAGAGCCUGCAGGCCUCCUGGGUAGAAUUGCACCUUCACAAUAAUGGGAAUGGGUGCAGUGUUUAAGCCUCAGUUUUUUAUUUGUAAUGGUGACAUGGAAAUCACUCUGCUGGAUUUCCAGCAUGAGUCCAUAUAGAGAUAGCUCCAAGAGUUCUCACUAUGACAGCCCACCUCAUUAACAGACACCAUGGGAUAGUAAUAGGGCUUCCAAAACAGACACCCAAUGCAUUCAAGAGAAAAACAGCUCACUCUGAAAAUGAUUAUAUUGAGAGGGAAAAAAAAAGAAAAGCAUCUUAAGAAAAAAACUCAGAUUAGAUAUGAUUGAACAAGUCAGCCAGAAAAACUUCCCCUAAAACACAUUUCUCUGUAAAAACCCAAAGUGCACAGCUACCCUCAGUAUGAAAAACAUGAGCAUUAUGAAUAACGGGGGGCAUAUUCUCAGCAGAAUUUUGUAAGUGUGUGUGGUUCCUCUUUCAUCUCUGCUGCUCUCUUAUCUUCUAGCCAUUGAAUGGGAGAUCUAUACUGGAAUAUGCCUGACAAUUUCCACCAAAACAUUU